CAAGCCCAAGUGCUGCAAAUGAGAGGGCCCUGAAGCAAGGGUGCAAUCUCUGCUCGCUAAAUCACUGGGCUGUGCUCAUCGGCCAUAAACAUGUCACUGCUGAACUGGGUCAUUCCUCUGCGAGCGUGCACAUCAAAGCUGGCUCUAUUUAUUUUGAAAUCUUGUUAAGCUUUGAUUCCUGCGCUUCUUUCACACCGGGUUUCAGUUACUGAUUGCUGCACGACUGCGCUGUUACCCAGCAUUACCCACAGUAUGUAUUCUAUCAGAUUUCUUUUUGUUCCGAGCGAGAUUCUUGUCUUCCCAGCUAUGUUAUCUGUCUUGCAUAACUCUCUGCGUGUGAUGCCUUUUUAGGUUUUGUAGCCUUCAGGGCAGUUCUGAUAUCCUGUCCUGCAGCAACUUAUGUUUGGUACAUUUUUGUUUAUCAAAGUCUUUUGUGUGACUUUGACUUGCCUCUGCAUGUGAGCGACCGUCAGGGUUCAUUGAACUCGUUUGUGACUUUUUCAAAACAGGAGACAAUAUAAGUCCUCUAAACAUAUGUACAGUGGUGGACAAACUUGUUGGUACCCCUUAGUUAAAGAAAGAAAGUCCACAAUGCUCACUGAAAUGACUUGAAAUGUUCAACAGUAACAACAAAUUAAAAUUUAUUGAAAAUUAAAUCAUCAAAAUCAGCCAUUACUUUUGAGUUGUUGAUUAACAGAAUUAUUUAAAAAAAAAACUAAUGAAAUGGGGCUGGACAAAAAUGAUGGUACACACAACUUAAUAUUUUGUUGCACAACCUUUUGAGGCAAUAACUGCAAUGAAACGGUUUCUGUAUUUGUCAAUGAGCCUUCUGCACCUGUCCACAGGUAUUUUGGCCCACUCCUCAUGAGCAAAGUGCUCCAGUUGUCUCAGGUUUGAC
Molecule: long non-coding RNA, 898 nt
Filed under: Oryzias sinensis (Chinese medaka)
Lineage: Eukaryota; Metazoa; Chordata; Actinopteri; Beloniformes; Adrianichthyidae
Description: lncRNA (ENSOSIG00000017372.1)
Source: RNAcentral